UUCAUUUAGCUGCUGGAAGCAGGACGUAUGCAUAGCUCACAGCCGAGUGGCAGGAGGACCGAAGAAUCUGUGGACAUGGCGCCCACUCAGCGGCUGCACUGGACUGUCUUUGUUUGGCAGGUCCAAGGUGACAGCUACUAGCCACAUGUCACUACCGACCACUUGAAAUGGGACUAGUCCAAAGUGACAUGUGCUGUGAGUACAAAAUACACAUCCAAUUUUGAAGACUUAGUAUGAAGGUGUGAAAUGUCUCGUAAUAAUGUUUUAAGUCCUGUUAUAGCUGAAAUGAGUGUGCCCUGCGUUUCUGCUGGAAGCACACGCUGCGUCUUGGUCUGGGUUUCCCGCCCAGCGGGAGCCUGCCCAAGCCUGAGCCGCCCGUCCUUCUGCUGAGGAUUUGGCCUGAGUCCCCCACUUAGCUCUCCGCAGUGGCUGGGUCUGCAUCUGAGCUUCUCCCGGGCACGGCGAGGGACCUCAACAUAUUUUUGGAGGCGGCAGUCUCUCAGAAGGUUGUGCGUUUGUGCGUGAAGUGGGAGGAAGCAUUUCUUGGGGUGUGAACAAACAAGCCUUGGGGUGCUCUGGAAAACCACAGGGGUGCAGAGGCCAGGGCCCCGCGGGGGAGGGAGGUUGCAUGCUCCACGUGCCUGGUGUGUUCACAGAACAGACUGCGAUGACAGAGGCAGAAACUGUGCUGAUGGGUCUACAAGCCAAGGAACGCCAAGGCUGCUGGCGCCCACCAGAGCUGCGGAGGCGCGAGAGGGACCCUCCCACGGAGCCUGCAGAGGGAGCGGCCCUGCGACCCCUGGUCUCGGCAGUGUGGUGGCUAGAACUCAGGAGAGUGGGCUGGAAGCCCCCACGACUGUGGUCCUGUGUUACGGUGGCCCCAGGACGUUAAUAUACACACGUCUCAGAGGUCACUACAGGGUGUGGCUCCAGGCUGUGGCUGAGGGUGGACCCGAUCUGGACAGACUGGCAACAUUUUCACGUGGGCCCGGCAGGCAUCAGGGGACAAAUACUAGAUUCAGUGACCACCCAGCUCAGAGCCUCCUCAGGGACAGUUGCAAACCGAAGCAAACAAGAACGCACUUAGCACAUUUUCUGGAUUUCUGUGCUCGAAAGUGACGCAAGGAAGGUGUGGUCUGGAGCGGCCUCAGCAGGGAAGGGAGGUAGCUGAGUUUCAGUUCCAGCACCAUCAUGAGACAUGGCGCAUUCUUUAAAGGGCCGUUCCAAGCUCUUGGCGUAUGUGUUGAAAGCAUUGCUUUUUACCUCGAAAGAUACAGACCGCGGCUGGGUGCACACUGGCAUUCCUGGGAGGCUGUGACAAAGGACCAGCGACCAGGCGGCUGACAACAACAGGAGUUCACCUCUCACCGUCCUGGAGGCCGGAAGCACAGCCUCCCUCUGGAGGGGACGUCCUCCUGCCUCUCCCAGCCUCCGGGCGGCCACACGCCUUGGCGCCCUCAGCUUCCAGAUAUCCACUCGGCCUCGGCUUCUCUUGUCACGUGGCUGUCUUCUCGGGGUGGCUCUCUUGUCCUCUGCUAAUAAGGACACCUGUCAUCUUGGAUUUGGGGCCACCGUGCUCAGUGUGACCUCAUCUGAACUAGUCACAUCUGCGAUGACCUUAUUUCUAAACAAGGUCACCUUCUGAGGUCCUGAGGGUUGGGGAAGAAGGUUCGAUCCAAAACACACACCUCAAGCACCCCCUUCUUUCAUUCUUCCUUUCUCGUGACUGGGGUUCUCACCUGGACAAAGGGCAAAGGCCUGAAGUAGGAGUUGGCAGCCCUCGAAGCUGGAACCGGGCGCCCUGGCUUCUCUUUGGCCAAACCCACUUCUUGGCACUGUUUUCCGGGAGCGGACCCGGCCUCUGAGCCAGUGGGGCUGGGAGAGGAGCUGGGAGAGUCUCCGCCAGCUGCUGCCCAUGGCCCUGGGCCGAGAGGAGCCGGGCUGGCGGGGCGGCGGCCUGGGCCCUGACGCGGGCACCCCUCCGCCUUCCACCCACCCGCCAGCAGGACAGGGCGCCGCUUCCAGCUUAGAAAGCGUGACCUUAUCAACGCCAUCAGAUACUACUGGUGCUAGUGUUCAAGUGGAAAGACUUCAAAGUGAAACUUAAGCACCACCUUUGGGACGCGAAGCCAAGCUUUCGGCAUCUGGUGGGGAGCGGGGGGCAGAAAGGAUGGAGAGACCCGUCAUUGUCUUCUCACUAAACAAAGAAUGACGUUAUGCGGGGGCAACGUCUGAGGUUUCACUGAACUCGGAAAGCAAGCCAGAUGGGACCCACCUCUCUCCUCCCACCUGGACUCUAGAAGAUUGCAGCGAGGCAUUCCGGGAAAUGAGGAAUUCCCAGGGCGCAAGCAUCUCCGUGGAUAACCGGUCACAAGUCGCCCUUUAAGAGUGCCGUCCAUUACAGAUGGCGUCUGUGGCAUACAUGGCACCUCUUCCUGCUGACCCGAAGAGAUGCUAACCACAUGAAAAUAGUGUUUGUUAUUUAUCAGGCUGAUUUCUCUAAACUUGCUGUGCCACCCUGUGAUGUCAUUCCAGAGCACUAAGGUGCAUUGGCUGGCUGGGCCCACUCUAAUGGCCCCAGGCUGCCUCGUCACUGUUUAGGGAAAUGUCCUUUUAUCUUAACUUUUCUUCCUCUUCGUUAUUAGCCUGACAGUUACCGCUUGUUGUGUAAUCAAUACCUCUCCUCUUACCCCUGAAUUUCCUCGUUCUAAUCUGCACUGAAUGUUAGAAUCGGGCCUUAAAUACUCGUGAGUUGUCCCUGUGUGAACGGCCCAGCUAUGCUUAGGUGAGUAAAAUGACUGACCUUG
Molecule: long non-coding RNA, 2807 nt
Organism: Hipposideros armiger (great roundleaf bat)
Lineage: Eukaryota; Metazoa; Chordata; Mammalia; Chiroptera; Hipposideridae
Exons: 2
Source: RefSeq, a predicted model, not a curated record